RNAcentral lists this ribosomal RNA (202 nucleotides) under uncultured bacterium. RNAcentral's name for it is "partial 16S ribosomal RNA". It matches the Rfam family "Bacterial small subunit ribosomal RNA", at positions 524 to 720 of the family's 1533-position model. The record is from RNAcentral.
UACGUAGGGUGCGAGCGUUGUCCGGAAUUACUGGCGUAAAGAGCUACGUAGGCGGUUUGUCGCGUUCGUCUGUGAAAUUCUGCAACUCAAUUGUAGGCGUGCAGGCGAUACGGGCAGACUUGAGUACUACAGGGGAGACUGGAAUUCCUGGUGUAGGCGGUGAAAUGCGCAGAUAUCAAGGAGGAACACCGGGUGGUCGAAG